RNAcentral lists this long non-coding RNA (210 nucleotides) under Elaeis guineensis (African oil palm). RNAcentral describes it as "long non-coding RNA (EGUI_LNC062781)". The record is from RNAcentral. Lineage: Eukaryota; Viridiplantae; Streptophyta; Magnoliopsida; Arecales; Arecaceae.
GGGUUCAUCAAAAAGGAACAUUCUUCCAUGAUGUGGUCUGUGUCAUUACAUCCAUUGCAAGUAGAUAUUGAAACUUGGUUCACUUAGGUGUGUCCCUUGAGUUGGCCUCUAACCUACAUAGUAUAGUAUCUAUUUUGGCCUUUGUAGCUAGGGAUAUGGAUACUUGGUGCAUAGCACCUCUUGUAGGUUUCCUAGUUGCUUCCCACUGCA